This 400-nucleotide ribosomal RNA is filed under the name uncultured bacterium. RNAcentral's name for it is "bacterial SSU rRNA". It matches the Rfam family "Bacterial small subunit ribosomal RNA", at positions 29 to 408 of the family's 1533-position model. The record is from RNAcentral.
AACGAACGCUGGCGGCGUGCCUAACACAUGCAAGUCGCGCGAGAAAAGGGGGCAACUCCUGAGUAAAGCGGCGAACGGGUGAGUAACACGUAGGUGAUCUACCCUCGAGUCCAGGAUAACCUACCGAAAGGUGGGCUAAUACCGGAUAUGACCACGGGAAUCUCGGUUCCUGCGGUGAAAGGUGGCCUCUGUCUUGCAAGCUACCGCUCGGAGAUGAGCCUGCGCGCCAUUAGCUAGUUGGUGGGGUAACGGCCCACCAAGGCUAUGAUGGCUAGCUGGUCUGAGAGGAUGGCCAGCCACACUGGGACUAGAAACACGGCCCAGACUCCUACGGGAGGCAGCAGUGGGGGAUAUUGCGCAAUGGGACGAAAGCCUGACGCAGCGACGCCGCGGUGGGUGA